UCAGAUGUCUCCAUAUUAUUAAGCCAUUUGGAAGGUUGAAGUCCUUGAAAAUUGCAAGAUGUUCUUAUUGUUAGCAUUAAAACAUAUUACAUAAUCCAAGACAAGAAGGGAUAGGCUAUAAGUGAGGGCUAUGCUGUGUAACUCCCCUAUUGAAAUGAUUCACCACCUGUUCGUUUCUUGUCUGUUUGUCAGCUUCCAUUUGGAAAGACUAUAAGUGUCUCAAUAAGCAUGCGAACCUACUCCACUAACUUCUACAUGGACUCCAUAGAGAUGUAAAAGAGUUUCUUGAAAAAGCUUGUGAUCAACUCACUACUGCCUAGUGCUGGCA
RNAcentral lists this long non-coding RNA (328 nucleotides) under Elaeis guineensis (African oil palm). RNAcentral describes it as "long non-coding RNA (EGUI_LNC069950)". The record is from RNAcentral. Lineage: Eukaryota; Viridiplantae; Streptophyta; Magnoliopsida; Arecales; Arecaceae.